Molecule: RNA transcript, 1131 nt
Organism: Mobula hypostoma (lesser devil ray)
Lineage: Eukaryota; Metazoa; Chordata; Chondrichthyes; Myliobatiformes; Myliobatidae
Gene: exosc7
Gene name: exosome component 7
Exons: 9
Source: RefSeq, a predicted model, not a curated record
AUAGUAUUGACGUCCUCCCGGCAUGAAUGACGUAGUCGUCGUGGCCGCGCAGGCGCUGUCGGUCGCUGGUGCCGUGAGGAUGGCGGCCGUGGUGUUGAGCGAUGCGGAGCGUGUCUAUGUGAUGUACGGGGUGCAGGAUGAUCUGCGAAUUGAUGGACGUGGUUGUGAAGAUUACAGGCAUAUGGAAGUGGAAACAGAUGUUGUGUCGAACACAAGUGGGUCAGCCAGAAUGAAAAUUGGUCACACAGAUAUUCUUGUUGGCAUAAAAGCAGAAAUGGGCAUGCCGAAACUGGAGAGGCCAAAUGAAGGAUUCUUGGAAUUUUUUGUAGACUGUUCUGCCAAUGCAACUCCGAAAUUUGAAGGUCGUGGAGGGGAAGAUCUUGGCACAGAUAUUGCCAACACCCUGUACCGAGUGUUUGACAACGGCAGUAGUCUGGAUUUGAAGACGCUGUGCAUCACUCCCAGACAGCAUUGCUGGAUCCUUUAUGUAGAUGUCUUGCUACUAGAGUGUGGUGGAAAUCUUUUUGAUGCAAUUUCCAUUGCAGUUAAAGCAGCACUUCAUAAUACAAGAAUUCCAAAGGUCAGGGUGCUGGAGAAUGACGAAGGUUCCAAGGAAAUCGAGUUGUUGGAUGAUCCAUAUGAUUGUAUUCGCCUUAAUGUGGAAAAUGUGCCUUGCAUCAUCACUUUAAGCAAAAUUGGUCACAGACAUGUGGUAGAUGCCACAUCACAGGAGGAAACGUGCUGUAUGGCUAGCUUGUUGGUGUCUGUCACCAACAAAGGAACCCUCACCUGCUUCAGGAAAAUCGGAGGAGGCAGCUUGGAUCCAGCAAGUGUGUUUGAAAUGAUGGAGCUGCAUCAACCAAGAAUAGAGCAUAAAUAUAGCAAUACGAAACCAGAAACAAUCAAACAACAAUAUGCAAACUAUGCCAGAUGGAAGUAAGUCCAGGAGCAGCCCAAUGGCUCAUGGUGAUGUUUAAUCCCCAAUGAGAGCAAAAGGAUUUGUUUCCAAAUAUGCUCAGACCGGAAAGCGAGUUGGAAAAGCUUUGCAUAAAUCAUUAGAGACUACCUUGGCAAAAGAAGAAAGUUUGGGAAAGAAGCGACAAAAAGUUGGUUUUCUUGGUUAACCUUUUC